CCUGAGAAACCCAAAAGAUCGAAUGGGGAGAUUCAUCGUCAGCGGCGCUGGCACGCGGGCGGUUUUGCGAUGUUAGCGCGGCCUCGCGGUCGCGCGGGCACGCGGCCGCCCGCGAACUGGGUUCAUCGCCCCUGUGUCUGUUGCCUGGCGUCGUCGGCGUGCACUUCUACCCUGGUAGGACGUCGCGACCCGUUGGGCUUCGGUCCACGGCCCGGGUGGGAGUCUGUCUCGUGUGCGCCUCGCGGCGUUUCCAGCGGGUCAGACCCCCGGUCGCCCGACCGGCUGCCCGGCGGUACUCGCACGGUAUAUGGCCGCAAUGUAAUCUCGAACGCUGCGUCCGGCCCGUCGUCAGCGUGGCAAGUGGAUCCCGGUGCGAGCGGAUCCGAGGCCGCCACCGAGCCUGGCCAGCUGUUUGACCGACGCGGCUUGAAAACGAACGAAGGACCGGCCAAUCGCGCAAAAUUGCGUAAGCACGUUACCGGUCGGCGACGCUACUGCUUUGGGUACUUUCAGGACCCGUCUUGAAACACGGACCAAGGAGUCUAACAUGCGCGCGAGUCAUUGGGAAUGACUCAAGCCCAGAGGCGCAAUGAAAGUGAAGGUUGGCCCCGCGCCGACCGAGGGAGGAUGGGCCGCGUUCUCGCGGACGCGGUCCCGCACUCCCGGGGCGUCUCGCCCUCAUCGCGAGGAGAGGCGCACCCAGAGCGNGCACG
Molecule: ribosomal RNA, 713 nt
Filed under: Spilopteron apicale
Lineage: Eukaryota; Metazoa; Arthropoda; Insecta; Hymenoptera; Ichneumonidae
Description: eukaryotic LSU rRNA
Source: RNAcentral